This 373-nucleotide ribosomal RNA is filed under the name uncultured organism. RNAcentral's name for it is "bacterial SSU rRNA". It matches the Rfam family "Bacterial small subunit ribosomal RNA", at positions 526 to 896 of the family's 1533-position model. The record is from RNAcentral.
CGUAGGGCCCGUAGCGUUAUCCGGUAUUAUUGGGCGUAAAGAGCGCGUAGGCGGUUUAUUAAGACUGUGGUGAAAGAUCCGGGCUCAACUCGGGGAACGCCACGGUGACUGAUAACUAGACGAUAGCAGGGGCAAGCAGAAUUCUCGGUGUAGGAGUGAAAUCCGUUGAGAUCGGGAGGAAUACCAAUGGCGAAGGCAGCUUGCUAGGCUAUACUGUGACGCUGAGGCGCGAAAGCGUGGGGAGCGAACGGGAUUAGAUACCCCGGUAGUCCACGCCGUAAACGAUGCACACUAGCUAUCAGAAGCAUCGACCCUUCUUGUAGCGAAGCUAACGCGUUAAGUGUGCCGCCUGUGAAGUACGGUCGCAAGACUA